RNAcentral lists this ribosomal RNA (253 nucleotides) under uncultured bacterium. RNAcentral describes it as "partial 16S ribosomal RNA". It matches the Rfam family "Bacterial small subunit ribosomal RNA", at positions 524 to 776 of the family's 1533-position model. The record is from RNAcentral.
UACGUAGGGCGCAAGCGUCGUCCGGAAUUAUUGGGCGUAAAGAGCUCGUAGGCGGCCUGUCGCGUCCGCUGUGAAAUCCCGGGGCUUAACCCCGGGCGUGCAGUGGAUACGGGCUGGCUGGAGGCAGGCAGGGGAGAACGGAAUUCCCGGUGUAGCGGUGAAAUGCGCAGAUAUCGGGAGGAACACCGGUGGCGAAGGCGGUUCUCUGGGCCUGUACUGACGCUGAGGAGCGAAAGCGUGGGGAGCGAACAGG